CUCGUAGGCGGUUCGUCGCGUCCGGUGUGAAAGUCCAUCGCUUAACGGUGGAUCCGCGUCGGGUACGGGCGGGCUGGAGUGCGGUAGGGGAGACUGGAAUUCCCGGUGUAACGGUGGAAUGUGUAGAUAUCGGGAAGAACACCAAUGGCGAAGGCAGGUCUCUGGGCCGUUACUGACGCUGAGGAGCGAAAGCGUGGGGAGCGAACA
This 207-nucleotide ribosomal RNA is filed under the name uncultured bacterium. RNAcentral's name for it is "partial 16S ribosomal RNA". It matches the Rfam family "Bacterial small subunit ribosomal RNA", at positions 568 to 774 of the family's 1533-position model. The record is from RNAcentral.